UAAUACCCCGUAGUACUGAUUGAAGGCAUCUUGUGAUCAGUUAAAGAUUUAUCGGUAGAGGAUGGCUAUGCGUCCUAUUAGCUUGUAGGUGAGGUAACGGCUCACCUAGGCAACGAUAGGUAGGGGCCCUGAGAGGGGGAUCCCCCACACUGGUACUGAGACACGGACCAGACUCCUACGGGAGGCAGCAGUGAGGAAUAUUGGACAAUGGUCGAGAGACUGAUCCAGCCAUGCCGCGUGCAGGAAACGGCCCUACGGGUUGUAAACUGCUUUUGUACGGGAAGAGUAAUGCCCACGUGUGGGCAGAUGACGGUACCGUACGAAUAAGGACCGGCUAACUCCGUGCCAGCAGCCGCGGUAAUACGGAGGGUCCGAGCGUUAUCCGGAAUCAUUGGGUUUAAAGGGUCCGCAGGCGGGUCAGUAAGUCAGAGGUGAAAGUUUGCGGCUCAACCGUAAAAUUGCCUUUGAUACUGCUGGUCUUGAGUUACAGUGAAGUGGCCGGAAUAUGUGGUGUAGCGGUGAAAUGCAUAGAGAUCACAUAGAACACCGAUUGCGAAGGCAGGUCACUAACUGUAUACUGACGCUGAUGGACGAAAGCGUGGGGAGCGAACGGGAUUAGAUACCCCGGUAGUCCACGCCGUAAACGAUGGACACUAGCUGUCGGGAUGUAAGUUUCGGCGGCCAAGCGAAAGUGAUAAGUGUCCCACCUGGGGAGUACGUCGGCAACGAUGAAACUCAAAUGAAUUGACGGGGGCCCGCACAAGCGGUGGAGCAUGUGGUUUAAUUCGAUGCAACGCGAA
RNAcentral lists this ribosomal RNA (800 nucleotides) under uncultured bacterium. Its description in RNAcentral is "bacterial SSU rRNA". It matches the Rfam family "Bacterial small subunit ribosomal RNA", at positions 164 to 965 of the family's 1533-position model. The record is from RNAcentral.